AGAGUUUGAUUCUGGCUCAGAACGAACGCUGGCAGCGUGGAUUAGGCAUGCAAGUCGAACGGGAGUCUUGAUGGCAGCAAUACCAACAGGACUUCAGUGGCGAAAGGGUGAGUAACGCGUGGGCAACUUGCCUCUGAGUUGGGGAUAACCUCUCGAAAGGGGGGCUAAUACCGAAUGUGGAGUUCCGCGGCAUCGCGGGAUGGCUAAAGGUGGGGACCCUUCGGGGCCUGCCGCUCGGAGAUGGGCCCGCGUCCGAUCAGCUUGUUGGUGGGGUAACGGCUCACCAAGGCUAUGACCGGUAGCUGGUCUGAGAGGAUGGUCAGCCACACUGGGACUGAGAUACUGCCCAGACUCCUACGGGAGGCUGCAGUCGAGGAUCAUUCGCAAUGGGCGCAAGCCUGACGAUGCGACGCUGCGUGGAGGAUGAAGGCCUUCGGGUUGUAAACUCCUGUCAUGAGGGAAAAAUGGCCUCGUCCCUAAUAUGGGCGAGGCGUGAUGGUACUUCAGGAGGAAGCCACGGCUAACUCUGUGCCAGCAGCCGCGGUAAUACAGGUGGCGAGCGUUGUUCGGAUUUACUGGGCGUAAAGGGUGCGUAGGUGGCUUCGUGUGUCGGUUGUGAAAUCCCAUGGCUCAACCAUGGAAUGGCGUCCGAAACUGCGAAGCUUGAGUGCAGCAGGGGAGAGCGGAACUCUUGGUGUAGCGGUGAAAUGCGUUGAUAUCAAGAAGAACACCGGUGGCGAAGGCGGCUCUCUGGGAUGUUACUGACACUGAGGCACGAAAGCUGGGGGAGCAAACAGGAUUAGAUACCCUGGUAGUCCCAGCCCUAAACGGUGCGCACUUGGUGUUGGCGGUGUUGACCCCGCCAGUGCCGGAGCUAACGCGUUAAGUGCGCCGCCUGGGGAGUACGGCCGCAAGGCUAAAACUCAAAGAAAUUGACGGGGGCCCGCACAAGCGGAGGAGCAUGUGGCUUAAUUCGAUGCAACGCGAAGAACCUUACCAGGGCUUGACAUGUAACUGCACGCCCCGUGAAAGCGGGGUUCCUUCGAGGGUGUUACACAGGUGCUGCAUGGCUGUCGUCAGUUCGUGCCGUGAGGUGUUGGGUUAAGUCCCGCAACGAACGCAACCCCUGUGGUUAGUUGCCACCGUAGGUGAUGAGCCUGCGAGCACUCUAGCCAGACUGCCCGUACAAGCGGGAGGAAGGUGGGGAUGACGUCAAGUCAGUAUGGCCCUUACGCCCUGGGCUGCACACGUGCUACAAUGACCGGUGUAGAGGGAUGCGAGACCGCGAGGUGGAGCAAAUCCAUAAAACCGGCCUCAGUUCGGAUUGUAGUCUGCAACUCGACUACAUGAAGUUGGAUUCGCUAGUAACGGCGCAUCAGCUACGGCGCCGUGAAUACGUUCCCGGGCCUUGUACACACCGCCCGUCACAUCAUGAAAGCCGUCUGCACCCGAAGCCGCUGAUCCAAUCCGCAUUAGUAGAAGGAAGGCGUCUAAGGUGUGGGUGGUGAUU
This 1510-nucleotide ribosomal RNA is filed under the name metagenome. RNAcentral describes it as "bacterial SSU rRNA". It matches the Rfam family "Bacterial small subunit ribosomal RNA". The record is from RNAcentral.